ACUCCUACGGGAGGCAGCAGUGGGGAAUAUUGGACAAUGGGCGCAAGCCUGAUCCAGCCAUGCCGCGUGAGUGAUGAAGGCCCUAGGGUUGUAAAGCUCUUUCACCGGUGAAGAUAAUGACGGUAACCGGAGAAGAAGCCCCGGCUAACUUCGUGCCAGCAGCCGCGGUAAUACGAAGGGGGCUAGCGUUGUUCGGAUUUACUGGGCGUAAAGCGCACGUAGGCGGACUAUUAAGUCAGGGGUGAAAUCCCGGGGCUCAACCCCGGAACUGCCUUUGAUACUGGUAGUCUUGAGUUCGAGAGAGGUGAGUGGAAUUCCGAGUGUAGAGGUGAAAUUCGUAGAUAUUCGGAGGAACACCAGUGGCGAAGGCGGCUCACUGGCCCGAUACUGACGCUGAGGUGCGAAAGCGUGGGGAGCAAACAGGAUUAGAAACCCUGGUAGUCCCAUGAU
Molecule: ribosomal RNA, 450 nt
Filed under: uncultured organism
Description: partial 16S ribosomal RNA
Rfam family: Bacterial small subunit ribosomal RNA
Source: RNAcentral